Molecule: long non-coding RNA, 1152 nt
Organism: Musa acuminata subsp. malaccensis (wild Malaysian banana)
Lineage: Eukaryota; Viridiplantae; Streptophyta; Magnoliopsida; Zingiberales; Musaceae
Source: RefSeq, a predicted model, not a curated record
UGUUCGACCAUAGAUUUGAUCCCAUCACGCCGCUUGGCCGCUACAUUACGCGGCACAAGCAACUGGCGAACCCUAAACCCCGACCCCUACCUCUCUUCCCUGCGGCGCUCUCGCUUUCUUCCUCUUCUCCACCUCUCUCUAUAUAUUGAUGGACGAGGCUCUUGAAACAGAGUCAAACAGCAGGCGCCUCUUGUAAUCCUUGGCGAUAUCCCUGUCUGCCGCAUGGAGCCGACAUCAGACCGCCAGGCGAAGAUUGCUUGGAUUCCUCAUCUCGUCAGUCCAACGCCACAAUACCUGGCCAUAUCUUCUCACAUCCAAAAACCACACUUUUCUUGAUCUUUCCUUGAUGUUUAUGUAGUUUGUAAGUUCAUGAAUAUAUAUCAAUCAGUCUUAUAAAUGGCACUAAUUCAGACAACGGGUGCUUUGUUGCUCGGAUAACAAGCCACCUUUUGCAUAGUGCCUACAGAGAGAUCCACCAGCGUGAGGCUGCCACACGAUUGUGGGGCGUGUUCAGCUCGUUGGCCCCCUGCAAAUUUAAGGCUGCCACAUUUAUCUGAUAAGUGAUCGUUGGAUGGAUCUCAGUUUUCUUCGUGCUUUCUCUUUUUAUCUCUAUUUUUCAGUCAUUGCUACUGUUUUCACUGUUAUUGAUUUUAUUUUUCUGUUAGUAUUUGGUUCUCAUGGCCUUUUUGCUUAUUGUUUUUGACGUGAUGGUCUAUAUCAUCACCCUUUACCCACUUUUCUUCUUAGUUUUGUUGAGUAUAGAGAUUAAUCAACUGAAUAAUUUUUUCAUCAUGUAUCUCAGAGUGUUGAAAAUAUUUUUUUUAAAGAUCAGAUGUUAAUUCUAAGCAGAUUAAUUUGUGCUGAGUCAUUUCAGGGUUAUUUUCCCUGAGCUUGGAUUCAAGUUCGAUAUAUAUUCGUAGAUGUGUUAGUACUUCUCUCCUGCUCUGAGCAUGGAAACCAUGAAAAAAAGGAGAACUUUGACCGAAGAACGUCAGUGGUAGAGGGAUUGCUUUGGACGAAACAAAUUAUAGUAGAUUAAGUUAUCGUUCAUGUUGGUUGAUUAGUUAAUGUUCAGAUGAUACCAAUGUUUUCUUGUAUUUGGAAUGAAUCCAGCAGAUGCCAUCAGUAAAUCUUUUAAAACAUUGUGCAUUA